RNAcentral lists this ribosomal RNA (821 nucleotides) under uncultured marine bacterium. RNAcentral's name for it is "bacterial SSU rRNA". It matches the Rfam family "Bacterial small subunit ribosomal RNA", at positions 28 to 896 of the family's 1533-position model. The record is from RNAcentral.
AACGAACGCUGGCGGCAGGCCUUAUACAUGCAAGUCGAGCGCAUCUUUCGGGAUGAGCGGCGGACGGGUGAGUAACGCGUGGGAAUGUGCCCUUCUCUACGGAAUAGCCACUGGAAACGGUGAGUAAUACCGUAUACGCCCUUAGGGGGAAAGAUUUAUCGGAGAAGGAUCAGCCCGCGUUAGAUUAGGUAGUUGGUGGGGUAACGGCCUACCAAGCCUACGAUCUAUAGCUGGUUUUAGAGGAUGAUCAGCCACACUGGGACUGAGACACGGCCCAGACUCCUACGGGAGGCAGCAGUAGGGAAUCUUGGACAAUGGGGGAAACCCUGAUCCAGCCAUGCCGCGUGAGUGAAGAAGGCCUUAGGGUCGUAAAGCUCUUUCGCCUGUGAUGAUAAUGACAGUAGCAGGUAAAGAAACCCCGGCUAACUCCGUGCCAGCAGCCGCGGUAAUACGGAGGGGGUUAGCGUUGUUCGGAAUUACUGGGCGUAAAGCGCGCGUAGGCGGAUUGGAAAGUUGGGGGUGAAAUCCCGGGGCUCAACCCCGGAACUGCCUCCAAAACUGCCAGUCUAGAGUUCGAGAGAGGUGAGUGGAACUCCAAGUGUAGAGGUGAAAUUCGUAGAUAUUUGGAAGAACACCAGUGGCGAAGGCGGCUCACUGGCUCGAUACUGACGCUGAGGUGCGAAAGUGUGGGGAGCAAACAGGAUUAGAUACCCUGGUAGUCCACACCGUAAACGAUGAAUGCCAGUCGUCGGGUAGUAUACUAUUCGGUGACACACCUAACGGAUUAAGCAUUCCGCCUGGGGAGUACGGUCGCAAGAUUA